GCCGGGGUGGUGAAAUGGCAGACACGCCAGCCUUAGGAGCUGGUGGCCGCAAGGCCGUGCGGGUUCGAAUCCCGCUCCCGGUACCA
This 86-nucleotide transfer RNA is filed under the name Chloroflexia bacterium. Its description in RNAcentral is "tRNA-Leu". It matches the Rfam family "tRNA". From Rfam's summary of the family: Transfer RNA (tRNA) molecules are approximately 80 nucleotides in length. Lineage: Bacteria; Bacillati; Chloroflexota; Chloroflexia. The record is from RNAcentral.